GCUAAUACAUGCAAGUCGAGCGAAUGGAUUAAGAGCUUGCUCUUAUGAAGUUAGCGGCGGACGGGUGAGUAACACGUGGGUAACCUGCCCAUAAGACUGGGAUAACUCCGGGAAACCGGGGCUAAUACCGGAUAACAUUUUGAACCGCAUGGUUCGAAAUUGAAAGGCGGCUUCGGCUGUCACUUAUGGAUGGACCCGCGUCGCAUUAGCUAGUUGGUGAGGUAACGGCUCACCAAGGCAACGAUGCGUAGCCGACCUGAGAGGGUGAUCGGCCACACUGGGACUGAGACACGGCCCAGACUCCUACGGGAGGCAGCAGUAGGGAAUCUUCCGCAAUGGACGAAAGUCUGACGGAGCAACGCCGCGUGAGUGAUGAAGGCUUUCGGGUCGUAAAACUCUGUUGUUAGGGAAGAACAAGUGCUAGUUGAAUAAGCUGGCACCUUGACGGUACCUAACCAGAAAGCCACGGCUAACUACGUGCCAGCAGCCGCGGUAAUACGUAGGUGGCAAGCGUUAUCCGGAAUUAUUGGGCGUAAAGCGCGCGCAGGUGGUUUCUUAAGUCUGAUGUGAAAGCCCACGGCUCAACCGUGGAGGGUCAUUGGAAACUGGGAGACUUGAGUGCAGAAGAGGAAAGUGGAAUUCCAUGUGUAGCGGUGAAAUGCGUAGAGAUAUGGAGGAACACCAGUGGCGAAGGCGACUUUCUGGUCUGUAACUGACACUGAGGCG
Molecule: ribosomal RNA, 726 nt
Filed under: Bacillus anthracis (anthrax bacterium)
Lineage: Bacteria; Bacillati; Bacillota; Bacilli; Caryophanales; Bacillaceae
Also listed under: 1 other name
Description: bacterial SSU rRNA
Rfam family: Bacterial small subunit ribosomal RNA
Source: RNAcentral